This 253-nucleotide ribosomal RNA is filed under the name uncultured bacterium. RNAcentral describes it as "partial 16S ribosomal RNA". It matches the Rfam family "Bacterial small subunit ribosomal RNA", at positions 524 to 776 of the family's 1533-position model. The record is from RNAcentral.
UACAGAGGGGGCGAGCGUUAUUCGGAAUUAUUGGGCGUAAAGGGCGCGUAGGCGGCAAGGCAAGUGGAAGGUGAAAUCUCCAAGCUUAACUUGGAAACUGCCGUUGAUACUAUCAUUCUUGAAUAUCGUGGAGGUAAGCGGAAUAUGUCAUGUAGCGGUGAAAUGCUUAGAUAUGACAUAGAACACCAAUUGCGAAGGCAGCUUACUACACAGUAAUUGACACUGAGGCACGAAAGCGUGGGGAGCAAACAGG